UGGGGAAUAUUGCACAAUGGAGGGAACUCUGAUGCAGCGACGCCGCGUGAACGAAGAAGGCUUUCGAGUCGUAAAGUUCUUUUAUAUGGGAAGAUAAUGACGGUACCAUAAGAAAAAGCCCCGGCUAACUACGUGCCAGCAGCCGCGGUAAUACGUAGGGGGCUAGCGUUGUCCGGAAUCACUGGGCGUAAAGGGUUCGCAGGCGGAAAUGCAAAUCAGAUGUAAAAGGCAGUAGCUUAACUACUGUAAGCAUUUGAAACUGCAUAUCUUGAGAAGAGUAGAGGUAAGUGGAAUUUUUAGUGUAGCGGUGAAAUGCGUAGAUAUUAAAAAGAAUACCGGUGGCGAAGGCGACUUACUGGGCUCAUUCUGACGCUGAGGAACGAAAGCGUGGGUAGCAAACAGG
This 403-nucleotide ribosomal RNA is filed under the name bacterium. Its description in RNAcentral is "partial 16S ribosomal RNA". It matches the Rfam family "Bacterial small subunit ribosomal RNA", at positions 355 to 776 of the family's 1533-position model. The record is from RNAcentral.